UUAUGAGAAAAUGUGGGGAAAUGGAAGGAGUCUGAAUACUUUCCGAAUGCACUGUGCAUCUGACAUUACAUACGGUAGGUACAUAAUGACACGUCAAACUGUGCAAGGCUGUGUGUAAAGUGUAAUAUACUAUAAUGUCUGUCAGACCUGAGGACCUGUCGUGGUAAUAGUAGACGUUAGAAGAAGAUAAGAAUGUUCUUUGUGUUGAUCCAGAGGUGUGUCACAGUCUCUCCAUCUCUUUCAGAACAGAGGCACAUGAAGGGGAACAGUGUCAGAGGCCAGCCAGGGGAUUUUGCACCCCCACAUAACAGCUAACAGUCUGAUAGUAAACCUCUGUUUACGAGACGGGAGCUCCUGCCUCUAUGUGGCGGUGUGCCCGUGCAAUGUGAAAGGAAACUGCAGGACCGCCGUUAAGCAGCAGCAAAGGCAUGCCAACUGUCCAGUCCACCGUCAGCAUCCUACUGGGAACCCUGGGGGUCAUAGGAAUCAUUCUAAUCGUUGUGUUUGUGAGGCUGUCCUACCAGAACCCCAAACCGCCGUGCAAAACCAACCAGGAGAGAGAGCCCCUGAGGAUCUCACUGUGAGGGUACUACCUGCAUAUGUCUCUGACUUUGCCCUUAGUAGAGCAAUGAUAUAGUGAGAAUGUUUAUUCAGUAAUGUGCAUAGUAUUUACCUAGUGGGUAGUUCUUGGAUUGUGGUGGUAUUUAGGCAGUGCAUCUGGGGAAAAAAAUCUACUUAAUUUUUCUAGAUUAUUUUUAUUUAUUUACAGUAAAUGUAUUUGGGUACAUCUUCUCAGUCUAAAUCAACUAAUGGCAGCUUAAUGACUUAUAAUAAUAAUUUUAAUAAUCUUAAUAAUUUUCACAAUUAUGAUAACAUUAUACCACCAGUAGGAGUAGUAACACCAAUGACGAUAACACCAAUGAUACAUUUUAGGCAAAUGAGGAUUUUCUGAAAUGGAGGCCACAUAUACUAAAAUCUAAGGUCAUUAACCCUUUAAAAAUCCCUUACUAAAGAGAUAUGAUUAAUAAUUCUGCUCCCAAUGUAAUUUCCCUUCAUUUACAUAGAGUAACACCAAGUGACACUUUAGAUUUAUACACACCAAAUUAUCAAUGAAAUCCUCAAAUGUAUGAUAUACUAAAAGGGUAUGAUUAGCUUGUAAUUGUAUUUAAAAUAGACCACUCCCCCGUUAACAGUUUGCCACUGGAGGGAAUCCGCUUGCGCGUUGUGGACCACACCUUCCAAGUCGUUUAUUAUUUUGCAUAGAACGCAUGCCUAUCGUUAAUCAU
This is a non-coding RNA of Oncorhynchus mykiss (rainbow trout), 1286 nucleotides long. Lineage: Eukaryota; Metazoa; Chordata; Actinopteri; Salmoniformes; Salmonidae. The record is from RefSeq and is a predicted model, not a curated record.